Molecule: ribosomal RNA, 443 nt
Filed under: uncultured bacterium
Lineage: Bacteria
Description: partial 16S ribosomal RNA
Rfam family: Bacterial small subunit ribosomal RNA
Source: RNAcentral
CCUACGGGGCGCAGCAGUGGGGAAUAUUGGGCAAUGGGCGCAAGCCUGACCCAGCAACGCCGCGUGAAGGAAGAAGGCUUUCGGGUUGUAAACUUCUUUUCUCAGGGACGAAGCAAGUGACGGUACCUGAGGAAUAAGCCACGGCUAACUACGUGCCAGCAGCCGCGGUAAUCCGUAGGUGGCAAGCGUUAUCCGGAUUUACUGGGUGUAAAGGUCGUGUAGGCGGGACUGCAAGUCAGAUGUGAAAACCACGGGCUCAACCUGUGGCCUGCAUUUGAAACUGUAGUUCUUGAGUACUGGAGAGGCAGACGGAAUGCGUGGUGUAGCGGUGAAAUGCGUAGAUAUUAGGAGGAACACCAGUGGCGAAGGCGGUCUGCUGGACAGCAACUGACGCUGAGGCGCGAAAGCGUGGGGAGCAAACAGGAGUAGAUACCCUGGUAGUC